Molecule: unclassified non-coding RNA, 203 nt
Filed under: uncultured Cortinarius
Lineage: Eukaryota; Fungi; Basidiomycota; Agaricomycetes; Agaricales; Cortinariaceae
Description: sequence contains ITS2
Source: RNAcentral
AUAUAUCAACCUCUUCAACUUUUGUUUGUUGGGUGUUGGAUUUGGGGGUCUUUUUUGCUGGUCUUGUAUCUACAGGUCAGCUCCCCUAAAAUGCAUUAGCAGAACAAUUUGUGAACCGUUCAUUGGUGUGAUAACUAUCUACGCUAUUGACGUGAAACAGGUUCAGCUUCUAACAGUCCAUUGACUUGGACAACUUUUCAUUA